This 635-nucleotide long non-coding RNA is filed under the name Equus caballus (horse). RNAcentral's name for it is "lncRNA (ENSECAG00000051395.1)". The record is from RNAcentral. Lineage: Eukaryota; Metazoa; Chordata; Mammalia; Perissodactyla; Equidae.
GUAAGGAAUUUGAGUUCUGUAAACUGGAUGGAGGGUAGAGUGGCAGGAUGGGAGUGGGACAGACUUUCCGUGCAGAAGGAACAAGAUGAGCCAAAUUGCAAAGCUACCGAGGGUUGGCUGGUAGAGCCUGAGCGCAGGAUGCGCAACAGAGAGCAGGGAGCAAGUCAUUGAAAAGGAAGCUUGGAAUCAGAUCCUGCUGAAAUCCUUCCUUCGCCACGCUGAGCACAGUUCUCCCGGGACAGUUUGAAAUUUACAUCAUCUGGACCUUGUCAGGAAGGAUGAGAGACGGCCGAUUUCAGCUGCAGCCAGAUGUCUGGAGGAGACCGUUCCAGCUCAGAUCAGCUGUCCUCACUGAACCACAAGUUAAAGAUGAGCCUCUGACUCUGAGAAAGUGAGGACCUACUUACCAUCGACUGGCCAAAGGUUCCAGCAGCAGACAAGGAUGGGAGAUCUCGUGGGAAACAAAAUGGUCUGUGAGGAUGGCAUGGUGGGUCUUGGCCUCAUCAGCACCGCAGACUACAGGAGGAGGCCAGCCUCUGAGUGGGACUGACCACUCUGUCACUUGAAACUCCCCAAGACAGUGCGUUAUGGACCAGGCACUAUAAUUUCCUGUUUUUAACAGCUUUGUGACAUAC